This 253-nucleotide ribosomal RNA is filed under the name uncultured bacterium. Its description in RNAcentral is "partial 16S ribosomal RNA". It matches the Rfam family "Bacterial small subunit ribosomal RNA", at positions 524 to 776 of the family's 1533-position model. The record is from RNAcentral.
UACGUAGGCAGCGAGCGUUGUUCGGAAUUACUGGGCGUAAAGAGUGUGUAGGCGGUGCUCUAAGUUCGGUGUGAAAUCUCCUGGCUCAACUGGGAGGGUGCGCCGGAAACUGGGAUGCUUGAGCGUGGGAGAGGAAAGCGGAAUUCCUGGUGUAGCGGUGAAAUGCGUAGAUAUCAGGAGGAACACCUGUGGUGUAGACGGCUUUCUGGACCAUAGCUGACGCUGAGACACGAAAGCGUGGGUAGCAAACAGG